This 496-nucleotide ribosomal RNA is filed under the name uncultured bacterium. Its description in RNAcentral is "partial 16S ribosomal RNA". It matches the Rfam family "Bacterial small subunit ribosomal RNA", at positions 29 to 507 of the family's 1533-position model. The record is from RNAcentral.
AUGAACGCUGGCGGCGUGCCUAAUACAUGCAAGUCGAGCGAACGGACGAGAAGCUUGCUUCUCUGAUGUUAGCGGCGGACGGGUGAGUAACACGUGGAUAACCUACCUAUAAGACUGGGAUAACUUCGGGAAACCGGAGCUAAUACCGGAUGAUAUUUUGAACCGCAUGGUUCAAAAGUGAAAGACGGUCUUGCUGUCACUUAUAGAUGGAUCCGCGCUGCAUUAGCUAGUUGGUAAGGUAACGGCUUACCAAGGCAACGAUGCAUAGCCGACCUGAGAGGGUGAUCGGCCACACUGGAACUGAGACGCGGUCCAGACUCCUACGGGAGGCAGCAGUAGGGAAUCUUCCGCAAUGGGCGAAAGCCUGACGGAGCAACGCCGCGUGAGUGAUGAAGGUCUUCGGAUCGUAAAACUCUGUUAUUAGGGAAGAACAUAUGUGUAAGUAACUGUGCACAUCUUGACGGUACCUAAUCAGAAAGCCACGGCUAACUACGUG